This 254-nucleotide ribosomal RNA is filed under the name uncultured bacterium. RNAcentral describes it as "partial 16S ribosomal RNA". It matches the Rfam family "Bacterial small subunit ribosomal RNA", at positions 15 to 263 of the family's 1533-position model. The record is from RNAcentral.
GAUCCUGGCUCGGGAUGAACGCUAGCGGCAGGCUUAACACAUGCAAGUCGAGGGGCAGCAUAAUGGUAGUAAUACUAUUGAUGGCGACCGGCGGACGGGUGCGUAACGUGUAUGCAACCUACCCUUUACAGGGGGAUAACACUGAGAAAUCGGUACUAAUACCCCAUAAUAUUCCGGGAGGCAUCUUUCGGAGUUGAAAGCUUUGGUGGUAAAGGAUGGGCAUGCGUUGUAUUAGCUAGUUGGUAAGGUAACGG